UCUUCCGCAAUGGACGAAAGUCUGACGGAGCAACGCCGCGUGAGUGAUGAAGGUUUUCGGAUCGUAAAACUCUGUUGUUAGGGAAGAACAAGUACCGUUCGAAUAGGGCGGUACUUUGACGGUACCUAACCAGAAAGCCACGGCUACCUACGUGCAAUCAGACGCGGUAAUACGUAGGUGGCAAGCGUUGUCCGGAAUUAUUGGGCGUAAAGCGCGCGCAGGCGGUUUCUUAAGUCUGAUGUGAAAGCCCCCGGCUCAACCGGGGAGGGUCGUUGGAAACUGGGGAACUUGAGUGCAGAAGAGGAGAGUGGAAUUCCACGUGUAGCGGUGAAAUGCGUAGAGAUGUGGAGGGACACCAGUGGCGAAGGCGACUCUCUGGUCUGUAACUGACGCUGAGGCGCGAAAGCGUGGGGAGCGAACAG
This 422-nucleotide ribosomal RNA is filed under the name uncultured bacterium. Its description in RNAcentral is "bacterial SSU rRNA". It matches the Rfam family "Bacterial small subunit ribosomal RNA", at positions 362 to 775 of the family's 1533-position model. The record is from RNAcentral.